AUCACUUUGUGCGUGGUACAUGGCAACACGGGUAUGCCCAAGCUUGGACAAAAGUCCGGAAGGUGUAUUUUCCAUAUAAUCUGAAAGGGUCUCACUGGGUUGCAAUCGAACUUGAUUUCGUAAGACAUACUGCAACCGUGUAUGACUCCUAUAUUGAUUAUACGAAACGUUCAAAGCUGGUUACGCUUCUGCACCCUAUUAGCGAUACGCUGGCACGAGUGCUGUUCGAUAUGCAUUUUUAUGAUGAUUCUGAGGUUGAAGAGGUGAAGCAAAAGGGGCUGACGAUGUCGAUGUAUACGCCAUUCUCAGUGUGCAGCAUUGCAGAUGUGCCACAACAACGAGAUGGUGCGUCUUGCGGAAUCUUGACCGUCAAAUUCAUCGAGCAUCUCAGUGCUGGGAUGUCGGUAGAUAAAGUUGACCCUUUGAAGAUCAAAUAUUACCGACUCAAGCUUGCAAUUGAGGGUUUAAGGGGGGAGGCAUAUUUAUGAGUCUUUCCAGUCAUUCAACACAAAAUUUAUCGCCUAAUACUGUGGACUAGCAGAACAAGUCUUACGAGGCCAUACAUAAAUAGCCACAAGUUGUCAUACAUGUAUAUCAAAAGUGUGAAGUUGAAACCUACAGACGACAAGGGAAGAAGGAAGCUCUGUCCCAUACAGGUGAUUGAUGGAGUAAACAUGUUUAUGCCACCAUACCAAAUUGACUGCCCCUUGAAUUGCACUUGACGCUACCACAAUUGUAGGGGUGGACCUUGGCCAGGGUCUGCGGGAAUGGAUAUUCAAAAGUACAUAAAGGUUGAGAAGG
Long non-coding RNA from Prunus dulcis (almond), 801 nucleotides. RefSeq lists it as uncharacterized. The record is from RefSeq and is a predicted model, not a curated record. NCBI's taxonomy places the organism in Eukaryota, Viridiplantae, Streptophyta, Magnoliopsida, Rosales, Rosaceae. The transcript is spliced from 3 exons.